This 1872-nucleotide long non-coding RNA is filed under the name Manihot esculenta (cassava). RNAcentral describes it as "long non-coding RNA (MESC_LNC000920)". Lineage: Eukaryota; Viridiplantae; Streptophyta; Magnoliopsida; Malpighiales; Euphorbiaceae. The record is from RNAcentral.
UAAUACUAAUUAUAAAACAUUUAAUUAAUUAUAUAAAAAUGUAUCUAGAAUAAGUUUAACAUCAUAUAAUAGUGAGAUCAAUAAUCAUUUGAUCAAAUAUUUAUGAAGUUUUAUGCAAAAUCAAUUAAAGUAUAUAAAAUGAUAUUUAAAUCUAUAUGUAAAUAUUCUAUCUAAUUGAGGGAGAGAGAGAGUAUAUUUAAAUUAUAUAGUUUUAACUAAAACUAUAUAGUUUUGCUGCUAGUACUAAGAGUUAUUAAUAUAUUGUCUCUUAAUUCCUAACAAUGGCUGAUUAAAAAAGACUUGCAAGAUAUACCUUUUAGAAGGUAUAAAGAGAGUGUCUACUUAAAGAGACAUACAUUGGGAGAGAAAUGUAUAAACUAAUAGUAUAUUUAUUCAUUUAGAGAGAGAGAUAUUAAACGUAACAAUAUCUAUGAUUGUAAAAUUUAGUAUUAUUUAAUCUUGUAAGAGUUUAAAAAUUAAGAGAGAGAAAAAUAAUAGAAAUAAAUAUUAUAAAUUAAGAGUGAAUUUAAGAUAAUAUCACUUGUAUCAUCCAGUGUUGUCAAGGUGCUAGGCAAGGUGAGGCACCUUCACUGAGGCAAGCGCCUCAAUAUCUAUGAUUGUAAAAUUUAGUAUUAUUUAAUAUUGUAAGAGUUUAAAAAUUAAGAGAGAGAAAAAUAAUAGAAAUAAAUAUUAUAAAUUAAGAGUGAAUUUAAGAUAAUAUCACUUGUAUCAUCCAGUGUUGUUAUGAGGCACCUUCACUGAGGCAAGCGCCUCAGUGAAGGGAGGCGCCAGGCGCUGCCUCUUUUAUAUAGACUAAUUUAUUUUUUAAUGAGUGCAAAGUGGAGCAGCAAAUGAAAGAAGAGAAGAAGAAGAAGAAGGAUGGGAAAAGUUUAUUAGAGGAGGACGAGGAAUAAAUAUUAUAACUUAAGAGUGAAUUUAAGAUAAUAUCACUUGUAUCAUCCAGUGUUGUUAAGGUGCCAGGCAAGGUGAGGCACCUUCACUGAGGCGCUCGCCUCAGUGAAGGGAGGCGCCAGGCGCUGCCUCAUUUAUAUAGACUAAUUUAUUUUUUAACGAGUGCAAAGUGGAGCAGCAAAUGAAAGAAGAGAAGAAGAAGAAGGAUGGGAAAAGUUUAUCAGAGGAGGAGGAGGAGGAGACAUAGUAAAUGCUUUUGGCAUCUUCCAUAAUCCAAUAUCUUCUAUUCUCUAUCCAAGUAUGCUACACACAACAAUUUUUUUCUUUUGUUUUUCUUCUGCAAUUUUAGGUUAUGUAUUUAUUUUGUUUUAUUGCUUAUAAUUGAAUACUUUUAGAAAAUAUAGGUUACUUUCUUAUUUAUUAUAAAUGAGUGUCAUUCUAUUGUUUUUAAUUUGAGUUUUAAAAUUAUAAUUUUUGUUUAUUUAUUUUGGAUGCCUGAGGAGGAGGAGGACCAAACCAAUUGAAAUUGAUAAUUCAGUUCGUCUUCUAUAAUAAAUUGGUGCGAUUUGAUUUUAAGAUAAAAAGUCUUUGGUUUAUUUGGUUCAGUUCGGUUUUCGUUAAGAAAAAUUCGGAGAAACCGAACCGAUUGAUAUAAUAAUAUUUUAUAACUAUAUUACAAGUGUUGAUGUGUAGCCUGGUGGUUUGAGAAGCUGCAUGUAAGGCUGCCACUUUUUUGUGUAGGUCACGAUUUCUGUUCUUAGCACUGCCUUUUUCUCCUUUUUUUUCCCCUUGCCUUUUUUGUAACAAAUAAUAUCAACUGUCUGUUCUCAAUGAAUCUCAACCAUUCUUUUCCUCUUAUAUAUUCAUUCUUUUUCUUUACCAAAACCCUACAGCCCCUAUUCUUCUCCUUCCUCUUUUACCGCCUUCUUCUCCAUUUCUCCUCUAUGGCCUUUUUUUUCU